This is a long non-coding RNA of Mirounga angustirostris (Northern elephant seal), 2379 nucleotides long. RefSeq lists it as uncharacterized. The record is from RefSeq and is a predicted model, not a curated record. NCBI's taxonomy places the organism in Eukaryota, Metazoa, Chordata, Mammalia, Carnivora, Phocidae. The transcript is spliced from 4 exons.
GACUCCUAGAUGUGGGAGGGACUUUGGAGGUAAUCUCAUUCGAUCUUUGUUCCCAGGGCAGGAAGCCUUUUCCACCACAAGAGCUGCACGUCAUCCCUACUUUCUUGAACAUUUCAUCAGUGGGAGCCUACUCCUUGUUGAAACUGCUUGUCCUACCUCUGGGUAGGUCUCCUUCAUCCGUUUAUGGAUUAGUUAAACUAAUAUUGAUGAAGCACCUAAGGAUUACCUGGGUAUCCUUUACCAGUUGGAGAACCCUCAUUCUGUGCUAAAUACAUCUGCUUCCUAUUCUGUUCCUCGUAUGAAAUAUGGAAUGAUUUUCAACCAGGAAGAUUUUAUCUCAUUUUUUUUAGGAGUUUUAUGGCUUCAAGUCUUCCAUUUAAGUCUUCAAUCCAUUUUGAAUUGAUUUCUAUGAGAUGGUAUUUGAGUUCCAUUCUUUUGUUCGUGACCAUCCAGCUCCCCCAACACUGAGUAUUGAAGAGACUGUCCCUUCCCCAUUGUUAUUGUUGGCUUCUUUGCCGUGAAUCAACUGAGCAUGUAAGUGUGACUUCUGGACUCCCUGUUCUGUCCCAUUGAUCUCUGCGGCUGUUUGUCCCAAUGCCACACUGUUUUACUUACUCUAGUUUUGUAAUAUAGUUUGAAAUCAGACACAGUGAUUCCUCCAGCGUUCUCAUUCUUUCUCAAGAUUGCUCGGGUUAUUUGAAUUUGCCCAGCACCUGGUCCCCAUCUGUCAUUAGGGAUCCAGCCUCCUCACAUGAUUUUGUGUCUUCUCCAGGUGGUAAAUAUCAUCAGAUUGGGGAUAAGUCAACUCUAUGCUCUGUUGAUCAAGCUAUCCCAGAGGUACUUUAACCACUUCCUGUGCUGCUACUUCCUUGCAUGAAAACACAUGCCUCGGUGUUGAGGACGCUGGCUCCCGGGGCACUCCACGUCCCCAACCUUGAGUUGCCAGAGCAGAGCUGGGACCUGUACCGCCUUUUGUCACCAGGGAAACAAUACAGAGAGAAGAGCUGAGGCCAGAAAAUUGCCUACACCUUGGAGACUGGUUACCCCUCCUGAGGGGGGGCGGAAGAGGGAGGAAGCUAACCAGUGAGAGACACUAAACAUAAAAGUUUCCAGAGGUGGCUUGGCAGAAAAGCUCAAACAUGUCUUAAACUAAUUUUUUACCAAUUUAUUUUUAAGGCUAUCAUCAUCUUCGGAGAUCCUCAUGAACAUGUGACAUAUGGAUGUUUAUUUCGACAUUAUUUAUAUGAGUUACUUCCAGUUGCACUUCUGCUUAAGUGGUAGGACAAAGGUCAGACUGUAGUGGUGAGGAGGGAGCAGAGGGAGUGAGACCAAGAGGAGGAACAUGACAGACCUGGAGGAGAACAGCAAACAUCCACAGUCAUUCGGGAACAGAAGGGAAGCCCGAGUUGUGCGCAGAGGGGAAGACAGGGCAUGUAUGGAUGGGGCUGGGAUAGGACAGCUCAGGACUUCAUAGGCAGUGAGAGUGGGCUCGGGCUUAUUUUGAAUGAGAUGGAAAAUAAUUGAAAGAUUUUAGCCAGGAAGUGAGAUAUCCUGACCACCUGUCAGAAGACAUUUGCUCAGGCUCUUAUUGGAAGAAUAAAUUUUAGGGGGAAAGAGUGGAGUCCAUGGGGACCAGGUAGCAGGAUCCAAGAGCCACCAGUCAGCUUGGGUUUUAUUACAACCAUAUUUUUUUCCCAGUUAUACUAAUAACCCUGCCAUAAACAGAAGGAUAUAGGUUUUUCCAGACUUUAGGUUAUUCUCUUUGGGGAGAAUUCUUGAAUUAGAAUGACUGAAUAAAAGAUAGGAUUUCUUUCUUUCCUGAAGGUGGUCUGUACCAGCACUCUUCACAAUAGCCAAGAGAUGGACACAAUCCACAUGCCCACCAGCGGAGGAAUAGAUGAGCAGACUCUGAAAGGGGGAGUUUGGGUGCAGACGUGCGCACAGGGAGAGCGUCAUGUGGAGCCCGGAGUCACAGUCACACGCCAAGGAACUACCCAAAGCAAGACCUGGAACAGAUCCUCCCCUAGUGCCUUUGGGGAAACACGGGCCUGUCAACAUCUGGAUUCGGCCUAACCGUGAGAUAAUGGUUUCUGUUGUUGGAACCACUCAGUCUGCGGUACUUUGUUACAGGUGCUCCAGCAAACCAGUACGUUCCUGACACCGCUCACACGUCCAUAGAGCAGCGGCUCUUUUAUGGCUGCCCAAGCAAGACAAGUUUACAGAACACACACAUUUAACACCAUAAACCCAACAGGUUUUAAAUCCGCUGCAUUAAAUUAAUGCGAUAGUCCGUACCACUCGGCCGCAACCGUGUCAUGACUGGCCAAGUGAAAACGGUCCUGACUGCCCUCGUUCACGUACAGGUGGAACGCCUCGUUU